Molecule: non-coding RNA, 768 nt
Organism: Paramormyrops kingsleyae
Lineage: Eukaryota; Metazoa; Chordata; Actinopteri; Osteoglossiformes; Mormyridae
Source: RefSeq, a predicted model, not a curated record
CCAUGGCAACCACAUCACGAGAGUUCAACUCCGAAAGGCAGAACGAAUGAUGGCGUUCUUUUGUAGCUGAAGAACAAGAGAUUCAGAUGAUGCUGCUAUCCCAAGUGUUUCUGGGUGUGGUGUUAAUCAGAGUAGCAUCUACAGGAUGUACACAAAUUUGUAUGCUCCUGUGGAUGGUCAGGACGACGAUGAUGAUGAUAAUGAGAAUGAAGACAUUGCUGCUGGCGGAAGUCAUGAAUUUUUAGGGAAUGUAGAGGAGACAAAUUGUGUGACAGCUGCUGAAGUAAUUGGGAACUUAUCACUUGGCAUAAAUCACACAAAUGUCAGCAGAUUUAACAUCACCAGAUCAAAUGUUUGGGAUGGAGCUGUCAGAGGAUUCAACUGCAGCUCCUACUCGCCAAACAAUGACAUGUUUGUGAAGUUCACAGACGAUGCUGGACAGUUUGAAGAUGGUAUCGAUACAGGUGGACCAAGGAGGGAAUUUCUUACAAUAUUGAUGGGUCAUUUAAAGGAACGUCCAAUUUUUGAUGGCCCUCCACUGAGCCGUUACCUUGUAUACAAUUCUGCCAGUGUGUAUGCAGUCACUUUCAUUUUAAUCAAUACUACAAGGUUGCAAAAAUUAGGGUUUAACAAUCAAGCCUUGCUUUAAGAUACCUGUAUUCUAAAACCAAGGUGACAUUGAGACAUUUGUGUUGUAUUUUGUAACAGCUGUCAGGGACGAUGAGUAUUUCUUGGCAGGGAGAAUGAUUGCGGUAUCAAUAGUUCAUG